This 160-nucleotide small RNA is filed under the name Arabidopsis thaliana (thale cress). Its description in RNAcentral is "ATSL307020". The record is from RNAcentral. Lineage: Eukaryota; Viridiplantae; Streptophyta; Magnoliopsida; Brassicales; Brassicaceae.
UUUGGCACAACCAUUUAAAACCAACUGAAUACAAAAAUAAAUAAUCAGUGAUAGAAAAAAAUGUAAAAUUUUAUGAUCCAUAUGUACAUCAAAACGAGACAUUUCGACAUUUUUUUCCGCCUUCUUUCGUUCGUUAUCUUAUAGCUAAUUAAAUCUAAUA